CCUGGCGGCGUGCCUUUAUCAUGCAUCUCGAGCGGACAGAAGGGAGCUUGCUCCCGGAUGUUAGCGGCGGACGGGUGAGUAACACGUGGGUAACCUGCCUGUAAGACUGGGAUAACUCCGGGAAACCGGAGCUAAUACCGGAUAGUUCCUUGAACCGCAUGGUUCAAGGAUGAAAGACGGUUUCGGCUGUCACUUACAGAUGGACCCGCGGCGCAUUAGCUAGUUGGUGAGGUAACGGCUCACCAAGGCGACGAUGCGUAGCCGACCUGAGAGGGUGAUCGGCCACACUGGGACUGAGACACGGCCCAGACUCCUACGGGAGGCAGCAGUAGGGAAUCUUCCGCAAUGGACGAAAGUCUGACGGAGCAACGCCGCGUGAGUGAUGAAGGUUUUCGGAUCGUAAAGCUCUGUUGUUAGGGAAGAACAAGUGCAAGAGUAACUGCUUGCACCUUGACGGUACCUAACCAGAAAGCCACGGCUAACUACGUGCCAGCAGCCGCGGUAAUACGUAGGUGGCAAGCGUUGUCCGGAAUUAUUGGGCGUAAAGGGCUCGCAGGCGGUUUCUUAAGUCUGAUGUGAAAGCCCCCGGCUCAACCGGGGAGGGUCAUUGGAAACUGGGAAACUUGAGUGCAGAAGAGGAGAGUGGAAUUCCACGUGUAGCGGUGAAAUGCGUAGAGAUGUGGAGGAACACCAGUGGCGAAGGCGACUCUCUGGUCUGUAACUGACCCUGAGGAGCGAAAGCGUGGGGAGCGAACAGGAUUAAAUACCCUGGUAAUCCCCCCCGUAACGAUGAGUGCUAAGUUUUAGGGGGUUCCCCCCCU
This 821-nucleotide ribosomal RNA is filed under the name Bacillus sp. Bac14C. RNAcentral's name for it is "bacterial SSU rRNA". It matches the Rfam family "Bacterial small subunit ribosomal RNA", at positions 35 to 840 of the family's 1533-position model. Lineage: Bacteria; Bacillati; Bacillota; Bacilli; Caryophanales; Bacillaceae. The record is from RNAcentral.